CCCCUCCAGUUUCCUUACCCAUUGGAUCUAAACACUGAGUGAUUUUAAGAGAAGGAAAAUUAAAAUUGAAACUGACUUCAGUGUUUUUUGUGGCACAAAGCUGGUUUCAAACAAUU
RNAcentral lists this small nucleolar RNA (116 nucleotides) under Echinops telfairi (small Madagascar hedgehog). RNAcentral's name for it is "Small nucleolar RNA SNORA61 (ENSETEG00000024334.1)". The record is from RNAcentral. Lineage: Eukaryota; Metazoa; Chordata; Mammalia; Afrosoricida; Tenrecidae.